GACGAACGCUGGCGGCGUGCUUAACACAUGCAAGUCGAACGGAAAGGCCCUGCUUUUGUGGGGUGCUCGAGUGGCGAACGGGUGAGUAACACGUGAGUAACCUGCCCUUGACUUUGGGAUAACUUCAGGAAACUGGGGCUAAUACCGGAUAGGAGCUCCUGCUGCAUGGUGGGGGUUGGAAAGUUUCGGCGGUUGGGGAUGGACUCGCGGCUUAUCAGCUUGUUGGUGGGGUAGUGGCCUACCAAGGCUUUGACGGGUAGCCGGCCUGAGAGGGUGACCGGCCACAUUGGGACUGAGAUACGGCCCAGACUCCUACGGGAGGCAGCAGUGGGGAAUAUUGCACAAUGGGCGGAAGCCUGAUGCAGCAACGCCGUGUGCGGGAUGACGGCCUUCGGGUUGUAAACCGCUUUCGCCUGUGACGAAGCGUGAGUGACGGUAAUGGGUAAAGAAGCACCGGCUAACUACGUG
Molecule: ribosomal RNA, 468 nt
Filed under: uncultured bacterium
Lineage: Bacteria
Description: partial 16S ribosomal RNA
Rfam family: Bacterial small subunit ribosomal RNA
Source: RNAcentral